GGUCAUUUAGAGGAAGUAAAAGUCGUAACAAGGUCUCCGUUGGUGAACCAGCGGAGGGAUCAUUACCGAGUUUACAACUCCCAAACCCCUGUGAACAUACCUUUAUGUUGCCUCGGCGGAUCAGCCCGCGCCCCGUAAAACGGGACGGCCCGCCGCAGGAACCACAAAACUCUGAUUUUAGUGUAACUUCUGAGUCUAAAAAACAAAUAAGUCAAAACUUUCAACAACGGAUCUCUUGGCUCUGGCAUCGAUGAAGAACGCAGCGAAAUGCGAUAAGUAAUGUGAAUUGCAGAAUUCAGUGAACCAUCGAAUCUUUGAACGCACAUUGCGCCCGCCAGUAUUCUGGCGGGCAUGCCUGUUCGAGCGUCAUUUCAACCCUCAAGCCCCCGGGUUUGGUGUUGGGGAUCGGGCUGUACUCCAGCCCGGCCCCGAAAUCUAGUGGCGGUCUCGCUGCAGCCUCCAUUGCGUAGUAGCUAACACCUCGCAACUGGAACGCGGCGCGGCCAAGCCGUUAAACCCCCAACUUCUGAAUGUUGACCUCGGAUCAGGUAGGAAUACCCGCUGAACUUAAGCAUAUCAAUAAGCGGAGGA
Molecule: ribosomal RNA, 591 nt
Filed under: uncultured fungus
Lineage: Eukaryota; Fungi
Description: eukaryotic LSU rRNA
Rfam family: 5.8S ribosomal RNA (bases 216-369)
Source: RNAcentral